UGAAUACGGAUGGUUGGUCGGAUGGACGGCGACGACGUUCGGCGGGGGGGGCGCCCGCCGCAGAAGGAGUCGACGCGACGCGACGCGACGCGACGCGACGACGACGAACGGCGCGGCGGGCGCUCUUCGUCGAUCGCGGAGGGAGGGUGGAGGACGAUGAACGAUUCAUCGCAUCAUGUAAUACGACGUGGCGACUACGCGCAUUCAUUCAUCGUCGUCGAUAACGACGCCCUCUCUGCUAAAUUAAAAGAAACCACUGCAUCCGUCCGUCCGUCCGUCCGUCGCGUCCACCGUCGUCCGCGGGCGUCCGUCGUCAGUUCUUCUUCCUCUGCGGGGACAAUCGCGCGGAUCGCGCGGCGUCUUUCGUCUCCCCGGCGUAGUACGCGUCGCGCGUGUUCGCCACCUGAGCGGAGAGGAGAGGGAAGGCGAAGGGAGGCGAGUGAGAGGAGGAAGGAAGGAAGCGCGAGAGGGAGAGAGAGAUGAGAUCAUUUCAUCCCAUCGCGUCAUCGCUCGGCCGACGAAGUCCUUAAGGAACGGCGUUCACCACGCGAACGCGGUCGUAUGGGAACCAGUCACGACGACGACGACGACGACGACGACGACGACGAAGUCCUUAAGGAACGGCGUUCACCACGCGAACGCGGUCGUAUGGGAACCAGUCACGACGUCGCCGCACCUCCUGUUCCCGCUGUCUGACGCUCCUGAACGCGAGCGGCGCUCCCGCGAGGGCGAGCCCGAUCGCGACGCCGACGAGCACGUAGGUCUGUCUCGCCGCGGGCUGGGUCAUCGGAGGCCUCGGAGGCAUCGUCGACGACGCGGCGCCGGCGCGGGCGUCGAGUGAUGACGACGACGACGACGAUUGAGGCCGCACGGCAGGUUCGUUGGCCAUGACCUGUUUUUUUUUCGCGCG
This 910-nucleotide long non-coding RNA is filed under the name Micromonas pusilla. RNAcentral's name for it is "long non-coding RNA (MPUS_LNC000197)". The record is from RNAcentral. Lineage: Eukaryota; Viridiplantae; Chlorophyta; Mamiellophyceae; Mamiellales; Mamiellaceae.